GUGGGGAAUUUUGGACAAUGGGCGCAAGCCUGAUCCAGCAAUGCCGCGUGCAGGAAGAAGGCCUUCGGGUUGUAAACUGCUUUUGUACGGAACGAAACGGUCCUGGUUAAUACCCGGGGCUAAUGACGGUACCGUAAGAAUAAGCACCGGCUAACUACGUGCCAGCAGCCGCGGUAAUACGUAGGGUGCAAGCGUUAAUCGGAAUUACUGGGCGUAAAGCGUGCACAGGCGGUGCUGUAAGACAGGCGUGAAAUCCCCGGGCUUAACCUGGGAAUUGCGCUUGUGACUGCAGUGCUGGAGUGCGGCAGAGGGGGAUGGAAUUCCGCGUGUAGCAGUGAAAUGCGUAGAUAUGCGGAGGAACACCGAUGGCGAAGGCAAUCCCCUGGGCCUGCACUGACGCUCAUGCACGAAAGCGUGGGGAGCAAACAGGAUUAGAAACCCGGGUAGUCC
Molecule: ribosomal RNA, 450 nt
Filed under: uncultured bacterium
Lineage: Bacteria
Description: bacterial SSU rRNA
Rfam family: Bacterial small subunit ribosomal RNA
Source: RNAcentral